This 1369-nucleotide long non-coding RNA is filed under the name Athene cunicularia (burrowing owl). Its description in RNAcentral is "lncRNA (ENSACUG00000011978.1)". Lineage: Eukaryota; Metazoa; Chordata; Aves; Strigiformes; Strigidae. The record is from RNAcentral.
AAACCGGAUGCCAUAAUCCCCUCCCAGUGCAGAAUGGACAUCGUCCCAGUACAGACUGGGACCCUUUUUUAGUACAAACUGGUUCCCCUGGCCUCUCCCAGUACAGACUGGGCCCAUUCCCAGUACCAAGUGGAACUUCUGAAGCCCUCCCAGUUCAGAAUGUGGCCUGUCCCAGUACAAACUGUUCUCCUUGGUCCCAUCCCAGUACAGACUGGGCCACUUCCCAGUAUGAAAUGGAUCUCCCAGUGCUUCCCAGUACAAACUGGGUCCCCUGUGCAUUCCCAGUCCAGACUGGGCCCUUCCCAGUACAAACUGCACUCCUUGGUCCAGUCCCAGUACAGACUGGGCCCUUCCCAGUACAAACUGCUCGCCUUGGUCCAGUCCCAGUACAGACUGGGCCCUUCCCAGUACCAACUGCUCUCCUUGGUCCAGUCCCAGUACAGACUGGGCCACUUCCCAGUCAGAACUGGACCCCUUUAUCCACUCCCAGUACAGACUGGGCCGCCUCCCAGUAGAAACUGGAUUUCCAGUGCCCUCCCAGUACAGACCUUUCCCCGUCCCAGUACAAGCUGCUUCCCUCGGACCAGUUCCACUACAGACUGGGCCACCUCCAGGCCGGAACUGGAUGCCCCGGCCCUCUCCCAGUAUAGACUGGGCCUUGUCCCAGUACAAACUGGAUCCCUUUAACCCCUCCCAGGAGAGACUGGCCCACUUCCCAGUCCAAACUGGAUGCCCACAUCUCCUCCCAGUCCAGAACGCGGUGGGUCCCAGUCCACCCUGAUCCCCUCCCAGUACAGACUGGGCGUCCUCCCAGUCCAAAGAGGAUCCUUGGAUCUCAUCCCAGUCCAGGCUUGGCCCAUCCCAGUACAAACUGGAUCAUCUUCCUCACCCCCCCACCUCCUCCCAGUACAGACCAGGCUUCUUCCCAGGACUAACUGGUUCUCCUGGUCCCUUCCAGUACAGGCUGAGCCCCCCCCCAGUACAAACUGGAUCAUCUUCCUCACCCCCCCGCCUCCUCCCAGUACAGACCAGGCUUCUUCCCAGUACUAACUGGUUCUCCUGGUCCCUUCCAGUACAGGCUGAGCCCCCUCCCAGUACAAACUGGAUCAUCUUCCUCACUCCCAGUACAGACCAGGCUUCUUCCCAGUACUAACUGGUUCUCCUGGUCCCUUCCAGUACAGGCUGAGCCCCCUCCCAGUACAAACUGGAUGACCCAGUGCCUCCCAGUCCAAACUGGAGUCAGCCCCUGUACCCCCGGCUUUCCCAGUACGGAGGGGAAACCCAGUUAAAACUUGAAUUUAUGGGCAGUAUCCUCGGAUUUUACUAAUUUGGGAAUAAAUAAAGAUAAUUGUUGGUCCCGGUUUGGGUU